CGAGUCUUAACCGGGCGUUAAGUUGCAGGGUAUAGACCCGAAACCCGGUGAUCUAGCCAUGGGCAGGUUGAAGGUUGGGUAACACUAACUGGAGGACCGAACCGACUAAUGUUGAAAAAUUAGCGGAUGACCUGUGGCUGGGGGUGAAAGGCCAAUCAAACCGGGAGAUAGCUGGUUCUCCCCGAAAGCUAUUUAGGUAGCGCCUCGUGAAUUCAUCUCCGGGGGUAGAGCACUGUUUCGGCUAGGGGGCCAUCCCGGCUUACCAACCCGAUGCAAACUGCGAAUACCGGAGAAUGUUAUCACGGGAGACACACGGCGGGUGCUAACGUCCGUCGUGAAGAGGGAAACAACCCAGACCGCCAGCUAAGGUCCCAAAGUCAUGGUUAAGUGGGAAACGAUGUGGGAAGGCCCAGACAGCCAGGAUGUUGGCUUAGAAGCAGCCAUCAUUUAAAGAAAGCGUAAUAGCUCACUGGUCGAGUCGGCCUGCGCGGAAGAUGUAACGGGGCUAAACCAUGCAC
This 518-nucleotide ribosomal RNA is filed under the name Salmonella enterica. RNAcentral's name for it is "partial 23S ribosomal RNA". It matches the Rfam family "Bacterial large subunit ribosomal RNA", at positions 678 to 1194 of the family's 2925-position model. Lineage: Bacteria; Pseudomonadati; Pseudomonadota; Gammaproteobacteria; Enterobacterales; Enterobacteriaceae. The record is from RNAcentral. RNAcentral also lists the same sequence under 2 other names.